This 460-nucleotide ribosomal RNA is filed under the name uncultured bacterium. Its description in RNAcentral is "partial 16S ribosomal RNA". It matches the Rfam family "Bacterial small subunit ribosomal RNA", at positions 338 to 795 of the family's 1533-position model. The record is from RNAcentral.
CCUACGGGAGGCAGCAGUGAGGAAUAUUGGUCAAUGGGCGUAAGUCUGAACCAGCCAUGCCGCGUGCGGGAUGAAGGUUCUAUGAAUCGUAAACCUCUUUUAUACGGGGAUAAAGUGCGGGACGUGUCUUGUUCUGUAUGUACCUUACGAAUAAGGAUCGGCUAACUCCGUGCCAGCAGCCGCGGUAAUACGGAGGAUCCGAGCGUUAUCCGGAUUUAUUGGGUUUAAAGGGUGCGUAGGCGGCCUGUUAAGUUAGCGGUGAAAGGCUGUGGCUCAACCAGGGAAUUGCCGUUGAUACUGGUGGGCUAGAGAAUGUAUGAGGCAGGCGGAAUGUGUGGUGUAGCGGUGAAAUGCUUAGAGAUCAUGCAGAACCCCGAUUGCGAAGGCAGCCUGCCAAGCCAUGUCUGACGCUGAUGCACGAAAGCGUGGGGAGCAAACAGGAUUAGAUACCCGAGUAGUC